This 1005-nucleotide ribosomal RNA is filed under the name Mycobacterium avium. Its description in RNAcentral is "partial 23S ribosomal RNA". It matches the Rfam family "Bacterial large subunit ribosomal RNA", at positions 1699 to 2684 of the family's 2925-position model. Lineage: Bacteria; Bacillati; Actinomycetota; Actinomycetes; Mycobacteriales; Mycobacteriaceae. The record is from RNAcentral.
CUAUGGUUAAGGAACUCGGCAAAAUGCCCCCGUAACUUCGGGAGAAGGGGGGCCGGAAUACCGUGAACACCCUUGCGGUGGGAGCGGGAUUCGGCCGCAGAAACCAGUGGGUAGCGACUGUUUACUAAAAACACAGGUCCGUGCGAAGUCGCAAGACGAUGUAUACGGACUGACGCCUGCCCGGUGCUGGAAGGUUAAGAGGACCCGUUAACCCGUAAGGGUGAAGCGGAGAAUUUAAGCCCCAGUAAACGGCGGUGGUAACUAUAACCAUCCUAAGGUAGCGAAAUUCCUUGUCGGGUAAGUUCCGACCUGCACGAAUGGCGUAACGACUUCCCAACUGUCUCAACCAUAGACUCGGCGAAAUUGCACUACGAGUAAAGAUGCUCGUUACGCGCGGCAGGACGAAAAGACCCCGGGACCUUCACUACAACUUGGUAUUGGUGUUCGGUACGGUUUGUGUAGGAUAGGUGGGAGACUUUGAAGCACAGACGCCAGUUUGUGUGGAGUCGUUGUUGAAAUACCACUCUGAUCGUAUUGGACACCUAACGUCGAACCCUUAUCGGGUUCACGGACAGUGCCUGGCGGGUAGUUUAACUGGGGCGGUUGCCUCCUAAAAUGUAACGGAGGCGCCCAAAGGUUCCCUCAACCUGGACGGCAAUCAGGUGGCGAGUGUAAGUGCACAAGGGAGCUUGACUGCGAGACUUACAAGUCAAGCAGGGACGAAAGUCGGGACUAGUGAUCCGGCACCCCCGAGUGGAAGGGGUGUCGCUCAACGGAUAAAAGGUACCCCGGGGAUAACAGGCUGAUCUUCCCCAAGAGUCCAUAUCGACGGGAUGGUUUGGCACCUCGAUGUCGGCUCGUCGCAUCCUGGGGCUGGAGCAGGUCCCAAGGGUUGGGCUGUUCGCCCAUUAAAGCGGCACGCGAGCUGGGUUUAGAACGUCGUGAAACAGUUCGGUCUCUAUCCGCCGCGCGCGUCAGAAACUUGAGGAAACCUGUCCCUAGUAC